UUUUUGUGGAAGGUGACCACGAAAACCCCCUUCCUCUACCCGAGUUUCACGCUCUGCCAGAAUAACCACGAAAGCAGGCGGAAGAAGCAGUCCACAGAUAACCUACCCGAGGACGACCAGGCACCACCAAGCACUGCAGCCGAGCACCAGGACCCCGUCCAGGUUUACUGAGGUCUGACUUACAUCAGCAAUUAUCUGCAGAGUGUGAGGAGUUUCGGCAAAGAUACACCACAACUAAGACGCAGAGAAUCUCCUCCACUCUCAAAAGUUCCCUCCUUCCCCGGUGCCCACCUCCGGACAGCCGCUAAUCUGUGUUCUGUCCUGUGGUUCACCUUUCCCAGACCGUCACCUACAUGAGACCACAGAGGACACAGCCUCUGCACCCAGCAAGACGCUUCGAGAUGUGUCCAGGUUGUGGCCUGUGUCAGCACGAAGUUCUCUUUGCCUGGCUGAGUAGUGCUCCACUGUGUGGAUACACCACGGUUCACCCGUGACCAUUUAUCGAACGGACUUGUGGGUUAGUUCCUUGUUUUUGACUGCUAUGAGUAAAGCCGGUUAUCGACUUUU
Panthera uncia (snow leopard) is the source of this 567-nucleotide long non-coding RNA. RefSeq lists it as uncharacterized. The record is from RefSeq and is a predicted model, not a curated record. The transcript is spliced from 3 exons. NCBI's taxonomy places the organism in Eukaryota, Metazoa, Chordata, Mammalia, Carnivora, Felidae.